AUCAUUUCUCAGCCUUUUGGCUAAAAUCAAGUGCAGUAUCUGUUCUUAUCAGCUCCAUAUUUUCUUGACUACAUCUUUGUUGAGCAAAGAAAAUAGAAGGCAGCAUACAUGGUUGGGCACAUUUAUAAUGAAUAGAUUCAUUAACACUUUCCAGAGUUAACAUUCUAAGUGUU
Molecule: small nuclear RNA, 173 nt
Organism: Heterocephalus glaber (naked mole-rat)
Lineage: Eukaryota; Metazoa; Chordata; Mammalia; Rodentia; Bathyergidae
Gene: U2
Rfam family: U2 spliceosomal RNA
About the family: U2 is a small nuclear RNA (snRNA) component of the spliceosome (involved in pre-mRNA splicing).
Source: Ensembl